This is a long non-coding RNA of Gallus gallus (chicken), 1279 nucleotides long. RefSeq lists it as uncharacterized. Lineage: Eukaryota; Metazoa; Chordata; Aves; Galliformes; Phasianidae. The transcript is spliced from 2 exons. The record is from RefSeq and is a predicted model, not a curated record.
UGAAGGAGUGUAGGAAAGAAGGCAAAAGAAAUCUGCCAGCAUGGCUGAGAGAGAAGCUUAUCUUGCCUUGGCUGGGUUCACUUUGGUUUCCCUCUUCAGCUUCUUUCCGUCAAUCGCCGUACUAAUGUAUCCCCAAAGGUGCUGAUCCCAGAACAAUAUGCUACAAAGAUGAUUACAGUCUAAAAAAGAAAAGAAAACCCUGUCACCAUGGAUGUUGUAGGUUUCAGCUUUUCACAUUUAAUCCUUUAAUUGGUCUUUCUGGCAAGAAGAAUUUGAUACUUGGCUUUACUGCUGCAUGGAUGAGCUCUAUUGCAAAUCCCAUUGGGAUGAAGUUACAGUCAUUUGGCAGUAAGAAGAUCCUUAGCAACUUCUCAAAAGCCUACCCAGAGGGUUCCUUGUUGACAUCAGAGUUUCUGUGUGAUGUCAUAAAGCCUCUUAGGAAGCAAAAAAAUAGCUGCAGAACCUUUGAAUAUCUGAUGAGACUGUGGCCAGCCCUUAUUCUGCUACUGUGUGUAUCAAGAGCUACGCUAAAGGAGAGUUUGGGUCUUGGCUUGUAGCCAGAACAUUGAUGAAUGCAGAAUACAGAGAACAGCUAAACAGACUGUACGCACAGUGAAAACAAAUAGUGUAAAGACAUUGAGUGCGUAGGACAAUAGGGAGAGAGAGCCUUGUACUGAGGUGUUUGGAGAGGUCUAAUCUAUAUAUCUUUACAGUUUACUAUUGUUUUGUGGACAGUUCUGUAGGCUAUCUGCCUGCUGUUAGGCAGAUCCAAACAAAGGCUGAGUAACCGAGUAACAGACUCUUUGGAAGAGAAAGAUAUGUCUUAUGGGAGCACACAAGUAAGGUGCCUUGUAAUCUCCCAUGCCCCAGGUCAAGAGCAAAUAGCAGCUUCUUCGAAUUCCAAAUGAGCAGUUCUUGAGAGGUACGAAUGCCAGACAUCAGUGAAAAGAGAAUCAAAAAGAGCUUUCCUGGAGUGAAGGAGGAGAUGAGGGAGGGAGAGCGGGGGAGAAGGUUACUCAGUACAAGCAACAGUGGAAAUUCCAGAACUCAGGGAAAGGCGGUGGACAGAAACUGCAGGAAGGGAAACGUGAAAGAAAGGCAGAAUGGAAGCAAAGGUUUCUGUGAGAAGAGGAUGCAUGCGGUUGGCAGGUGAGGGUGUACACGUGCAUCUCUACAUCCAAAUGCAUCUGUAUUUUGUAUGUAUGUAUACAUAUAUACAUGUAUGUAUGUAUAUUUGUAUGCAGCUGAAAAGGUUGUCUGAAUCCAGACUUAGCAGUCA